UACGUAGGGGGCGAGCGUUGUCCGGAUUUAUUGGGCGUAAAGAGCGUGUAGGCGGCCAGGUAGGUCUGCUGUGAAAACUCGAGGCUCAACCUCGAGCUGUCGGCGGAAACCAUCUGGCUAGAGUCCGGGAGAGGAGAGUGGAAUUCCUGGUGUAGCGGUGAAAUGCGCAGAUAUCAGGAAGAACACCUAUGGCGAAGGCAGCUCUCUGGGACGGUACUGACGCUGAGACGCGAAAGCGUGGGGAGCGAACAGG
RNAcentral lists this ribosomal RNA (253 nucleotides) under uncultured bacterium. Its description in RNAcentral is "partial 16S ribosomal RNA". It matches the Rfam family "Bacterial small subunit ribosomal RNA", at positions 524 to 776 of the family's 1533-position model. The record is from RNAcentral.